Molecule: long non-coding RNA, 290 nt
Organism: Eurytemora carolleeae
Lineage: Eukaryota; Metazoa; Arthropoda; Copepoda; Calanoida; Temoridae
Exons: 3
Source: RefSeq, a predicted model, not a curated record
UAUUGGAUCAAGGAAUAAUGCUUCUUGAAAAUGCCAAGGCACUGAGUUCCUGGUAUGCAAGCGAUUGGAACAACCGUUAGCCAUCAAGUUAUAGGAAAGUUAUGAAUUAACCGGUCAACAACUGCUGGUUCUUUCUACAGACAAAUCUCCUCCUGCUGAAAACUAUCGAAAAGCUAAUGAAGGAGCAGCUGGAUCCAUGGUGUCCUAUAACUUCAGGUAUUACUCACAUUUCUUGAUAAAUCUGUACAAAAACGGUAAUGUCCGAUUUACAAUAGUACCCUUAAAAGCCU